UCCCUGCUGACUCAGACAGUAAAGAAUCUGCCUGCAAUGCAGGAGAUCCGGGUUCGAUCCCUGGGUUGGGAA
This is a transfer RNA of Ovis aries (sheep), 72 nucleotides long. It matches the Rfam family "tRNA". From Rfam's summary of the family: Transfer RNA (tRNA) molecules are approximately 80 nucleotides in length. NCBI's taxonomy places the organism in Eukaryota, Metazoa, Chordata, Mammalia, Artiodactyla, Bovidae. The record is from Rfam.